UCUUAGUUAUCUUCCUAUAUAGCUCCUGGAUUUUGAGACACUCUUCAUUCACCAAUCUGUCUCAGUAGAAAUUUAGAUGUAUUUAUUAUUAGGAGAUACCAAGAGGUACACAUACUCGUAUUCUCUAUGAGCCUAGAACUUGGUCCAUGAGAGUCUUUCUUGGGCGUUUUAUUAAGGCUAGACCUGAGCCAACUUCUUUCGGAGGGACUAGAGUCUCCCUAUCCACAAGAAAUGAUUAAUAACUUCCUAAGAAUUGUUUCCCACCCAACUCAAAACUAAAUUCUGAAUAAACUUGAGUGUGAUGAACUUUCUCACAACCUCAAGACCUGCUAAGUCAGUCAUGAUUGCACAUCCCUUGAAUCAGCUUUGCUCAUUGUCCAAAGAUAGAAGCACUCGCUGUAUCAUUCCUGACACUCAGUGUCCAAAUGUGUGAGACACUAUUUCCCACUGUCCUUUUUCCUAUCCAACUUUCCUGUACCAUCCACAUUCAAUGCUUUAUAAAUAUCCAUACAUCCUCAACAUUUUACUUCAUGCUCCUUUUAUUUCCUGGUCUUCAACUUUCUCUAAGAUGUUGGUUCUUUUUUUGUGUGUGUGUGUGUGAGAUGGAGUUUUGCUGUGUUGCCCAGGCUGGAGUGCAGUGGCGUGAUCUCAGCUCACUACCAACUCUGGCUCCCAGGUUCAAGUGAUUCUCCUGCUUCAGCCUCCAGAGUAGCUGGGAUUACAGGCAUGUGCCACCACUCCUGGCUAAGUUUUGUAUUUUUAGUAGAGACAGGGUUUCACCAUGUUGGCCAGGCUGGUCUCAAACUCCUGACCGCAAGUAAGAUACUGCUUCCUUGAAAUGACUAGCAAAUCCAGCAUGUAUUUCAGGUUGGAUUUCUUGUGGUUAUCACUUUCAUAAUUCUCUUGCUAGCUUUUAACAGCUUUGCCCUGCACUUAUUCCACCCCAUUUGUCUGGAAACAUUGCAAUCACAGAUGAAUCCAACUGUCUGUUUUCUCUACACCCUGACAUGAAGUGCCAGGCAGCAUUAGAGAAAUUUGAGCAUGUGAGAAACUUACGUAACUCUUUAGGAUGCUGUCGAUAUACAUUUAUGGUCACCAAUACACCUAGACUCUCCGUGCUAUAACUGCCAUCUUUUUGUUUCCCUUGUCAGCUCUCCUUUCUUUGGCUAUUUUUGAUAUGCCUCAUUUUGUAUCAUAUAAAACUGUGGCUCUUCUUCUCUUACUGCAUAUAACUUUACCUUCUACUUUAUAGAAAAAAUAGCCAACAGACAAAAUUUCCUCAACUUCUUGCUAACCAGAACCUUAAAAUUACCUGCGUAUAUAUCCAUCGCCACCUUUUGCU
This 1342-nucleotide long non-coding RNA is filed under the name Homo sapiens (human). RNAcentral's name for it is "HSALNT0092894". The record is from RNAcentral. Lineage: Eukaryota; Metazoa; Chordata; Mammalia; Primates; Hominidae.